GUAGGGUGCAAGCGUUGUCCGGAAUUACUGGGCGUAAUGAGUUCGUAGGCGGUUUGUCGCGUCGUUUGUGAAAACCAGCAGCUCAACUGCUGGCUUGCAGGCGAUACGGGCAGACUUGAGUACUGCAGGGGAGACUGGAAUUCCUGGUGUAGCGGUGAAAUGCGCAGAUAUCAGGAGGAACACCGGUGGCGAAGGCGGGUCUCUGGGCAGUAACUGACGCUGAGGAACGANAGCGUGGGUAGCGAACAGGAUUAGAUACCCUGGUAGUCCACGCCGUAAACGGUGGGCGCUAGGUGUGGGUUCCUUCCACGGAAUCCGUGCCGUAGCUAACGCAUUAAGCGCCCCGCCUGGGGAGU
Molecule: ribosomal RNA, 356 nt
Filed under: uncultured bacterium
Lineage: Bacteria
Description: bacterial SSU rRNA
Rfam family: Bacterial small subunit ribosomal RNA
Source: RNAcentral